CUGACCGUAAACAAUGCCAACUAGCGAUCCGCCGGCGGAUUUCAUCGCCCUGGUGGGGAGCUUCCCGGAAACGAAAGUCUUCCGGUUCCGGGGGAAGUAUGGUUGCAAAGCUGAAACUUAAAGGAAUUGACGGAAGGGCACCACCAGGAGUGGAGCCUGCGGCUUAAUUUGACUCAACACGGGGAAACUCACCCGGCCCGGACACCGUAAGGAUUGACAGAUUGAUAGCUUUUUCAUGAUUCGGUGGAUGGUGGUGCAUGGCCGUUCUUAGUUCGUGGAGCGAUUUGUCUGGUUUAUUCCGAUAACGAGCGAGACUCUGGCCUACUAAAUAGUUGGAGCAUUGCCGCUGUGCUCACACACUUCUUAGAGGGAUUGUCGGUGUUCAGCCGCACGAAAUUGAGCAAUAACAGGUCUGUGAUGCCCUUAGAUGUCCGGGGCUGCACGCGCGCUACACUGGCAAAAUCAGCGUGCUUGUCCUUGCCCCCGAGAGGGCGUGGUAAACCCGUGAAAAUUUGCCGGUGAUUGGGAUUCGGACCUUGCAAUUAAUUUGGUCCCGUGACCGAGGAAUUCCUUGUAGGGGCGAGUUUCCAUCAGCUCGCUCUG
RNAcentral lists this ribosomal RNA (603 nucleotides) under Helicotylenchus sp. 2010_033. Its description in RNAcentral is "SSU rRNA". It matches the Rfam family "Eukaryotic small subunit ribosomal RNA", at positions 1026 to 1643 of the family's 1831-position model. The record is from RNAcentral. Lineage: Eukaryota; Metazoa; Nematoda; Chromadorea; Rhabditida; Hoplolaimidae.